AUGGUCCAGUGUCAUGGUUGGAUUCUCAGGGACGUGUCUUACCCUAGCAGGAGGGGCUCCAGCGUCUUAUUUUCAUCUGAGAUAACACAGAUUAAUCACUUUUCUCUUCAUUUUUCACUCCUCAUUAGCCUCAGAAGCAAAAGACUUGGAGUCUCCUGUCGUAGUGCUGAGGGCUGGAAGGAACACACAUGGGUUGCCCAAAUUCCAUCAGCCACAUCCUUACCUCAGCAGAUGAUAAAGUUCUGCAGCCCCACCCCCAGCUCCAGCAGAUGAUCUCUGACUCUGAGUUGAACAUUUAGGCUAUGACUGUAUAUACAAGCUUCAUGUCUUCACUCAUACGCGGCCUAUAGAAGAUUCCCUCCAGGAUAAAGUAUCUUCUGUGACUUUAAAGAUGAAAGACUCCUACCAGAGGGAUGAAGUUUGCCUCAAGCUUUCAAAAUGUGAUAUCCAAGUUCAUUACUUGUGCUCCAUUCCAUUCAACUGGAGUCAAAUCCAUGGAGCAGAAUCACCACCCGAGACCUCAUCUGCCAUUUAGAAAAUGACUUCCCAAACCACAGAGGUCUAAUUUGUAGCACACCUCUCCAUACAUGGGUUUAUUUUUCUCCCCGCAGAGUCCAAACUGGUGAUAACCAGGGCAAUAUCUUGUAUAUCUCGUCCAACACUGAUAUUUCUGCUGUCAGAAACACUGCCUCUCCCCACGAAGAAAGUACCCAAUCAUUUCUUUUUCCCUUAACCUCUCACAUAAGGCCUGAAAACUACAGCCCUGGGUUCCCCAGAAGCUACCAGAUUGUGCAAUGUACUAUCACAGAAUGUCAUACUCGAGCCCUGCUAUAGUCACAUCCAAUAAGUAAUCUGGCAUAAAGAAAAGUUAACUGAAUUAGUGGCCAAUUGGGACACCUUGUGACCUACUCUUUAGGAACCAAGUCCUCUGAACUUCUCCAUUCUGCUUUGCCUUCAUACUUUAAUAGGGACUGAAUCCCCAUUAACAAUUGAGCGGCGACAAUAAGUGCCAUCAGGAAAAGGAAAUUCAAUUUUCGUGGGGGAUGACAGCCUUACCUUUUCGCGCUUAAUUGGCCGUAUUGUCUCCAAAAGUUAAUUGGUUACUUAGUCCAGGUAGUUAGUAAAAUGUUUAGCUGCGUCAAAAAGCUCAGGCUCCCAUUGUUAAUGGGGCAUGAAAUGGAAUGUUUGAUACUGCAAAUAAAAUCAGUGAUAUUCAAGGAUGUUAUGGUAGG
This 1232-nucleotide long non-coding RNA is filed under the name Oryctolagus cuniculus (rabbit). Its description in RNAcentral is "lncRNA (ENSOCUG00000031953.1)". The record is from RNAcentral. Lineage: Eukaryota; Metazoa; Chordata; Mammalia; Lagomorpha; Leporidae.